GAUGAAGAACGCAGCGAAAUGCGAUACGUAAUGUGAAUUGCAGAAUUCAGUGAAUCAUCGAAUCUUUGAACGCACAUUGCGCCCGCCAGCACUCUGGCGGGCAUGCCUGUUCGAGCGUCAUUAUAACCACUCAAGCUCUCGCUUGGUAUUGGGGUUCGCGGUUUCGCGGCCCCUAAAAUCAGUGGCGGUGCCUGUCGGCUCUACACGUAGUAAUACUUCUCGCGAUUGAGUUCGAUAGGUCUACUUGCCAGUAACCCCCAAUUUUUACAGGUUGACCUCGGAUCAGGUAGGGAUACCCGCUGAACUUAAGCAUAUCAAUAAGCGGAGGA
This 329-nucleotide unclassified non-coding RNA is filed under the name soil metagenome. RNAcentral's name for it is "partial contains 5.8S ribosomal RNA, internal transcribed spacer 2, and large subunit ribosomal RNA". The stretch from base 1 to 120 matches the Rfam family "5.8S ribosomal RNA", at positions 35 to 154 of the family's 154-position model. The record is from RNAcentral.